CCUUCAGGACAUCUCGUGUGGGCUGAGCAGCUGCGGAUAGGGAGCUUCUUCCGAACAGACAGGACACCUGGUUGCUGAACACGAUGAAAAUGGUCCUGAAACUAAUUGUUUUAGAAAUUUGUGGAUCCGCAGAUCCUGGGAUUUCGUUCAUUGAAAAAAGAACCUCCCCCCAACGGACAGAACCGCGGGAAAUGCGCAACUGCGCCAACAUCUGAAACUUCAUACGAACGUCUCGUGUGGGAAAUUGGCUUUCUUCAUUGCUCCCAAUUUGCAUUGACCUUUACUCAAUAAAAAGAGACAGAGCUCGGCACUAUUCAACAGGACACCGCUCACAGAUCAGCCGGAAACCUGCUGCAUUCUGUCAAGAUGAGAGUUGCUUUGAGUAUCCUGAUGUUCGCUUUAGCUGCGGCUGAUGUGAUUGACUACAGUUGCGUGUGUCGAGUCGCCUUCUGGGACGUCCAGGGAAUUCGCACGUUCGCCGAGAUUGAAGGAGGUGUAGUUCAGGCCCCGGCAGACGACUGCCCAGUCGAAGCGGAAGCCAAAUGCAAAGAGCCGUGCAAAGCUGAAUUCAGAAAGCAGGCGGCACAGCUCGCCAACACAGCCUGUACUAAGUUUCCCCACAAGAAACGGGACGCUGUGCUUUUGGUUGUGACUGUAAAACAGAAGCCAUGUCUCCCUCUGCUGGCCACAAUGAACAGCACCACCUUCCUCUGUGAAGACGGAAAACCUACCGCCUUCCAGCCACUCACUCUGGAGAACAUGGCUGACACCUUCAAUAGCUAA
This 783-nucleotide long non-coding RNA is filed under the name Lepisosteus oculatus (spotted gar). RNAcentral's name for it is "lncRNA (ENSLOCG00000022837.1)". Lineage: Eukaryota; Metazoa; Chordata; Actinopteri; Semionotiformes; Lepisosteidae. The record is from RNAcentral.